GGUAGUCGUGAGAUAGCUUCAACGAGAAGUGGGUGAUGCCCUGAACAAACAUUUGCUGUCAGAAGCUAGGCUAGAGAUUUCAUCACAACGUCGUGUUAAUUUAGAAGAUGAGACACGAAGUUCAAAAAAGAAAUUAGGCCAGAGGAGAAGUCAAUUGCAAGAAAUGCAGGAUCAACGCACAGAGACUCUAAGAUGUGCUGAGGAGAUGCCAGACCACAUGCAAAAGUACAAUUUAAAGCAACAUACAAAAUAUCUUGAGUAUUUACAAAGCACAUGAGUAGUGUAGUA
RNAcentral lists this long non-coding RNA (288 nucleotides) under Homo sapiens (human). Its description in RNAcentral is "non-protein coding lnc-CCT8L2-1:6". The record is from RNAcentral. Lineage: Eukaryota; Metazoa; Chordata; Mammalia; Primates; Hominidae.